RNAcentral lists this ribosomal RNA (478 nucleotides) under uncultured bacterium. RNAcentral describes it as "partial 16S ribosomal RNA". It matches the Rfam family "Bacterial small subunit ribosomal RNA", at positions 28 to 507 of the family's 1533-position model. The record is from RNAcentral.
GAUGAACGCUGGCGGCGUGCUUAACACAUGCAAGUCGAACGGGAAUUAUUUUAUUGAAACUUCGGUCGAUUUAAUUUAAUUCUAGUGGCGGACGGGUGAGUAACGCGUGGGUAACCUGCCUUAUACAGGGGGAUAACAGUCAGAAAUGGCUGCUAAUACCGCAUAAGCGCACAGAGCUGCAUGGCUCAGUGUGAAAAACUCCGGUGGUAUAAGAUGGACCCGCGUUGGAUUAGCUUGUUGGCAGGGUAACGGCCUACCAAGGCGACGAUCCAUAGCCGGCCUGAGAGGGUGAACGGCCACAUUGGGACUGAGACACGGCCCAGACUCCUACGGGAGGCAGCAGUGGGGAAUAUUGCACAAUGGGGGAAACCCUGAUGCAGCGACGCCGCGUGAAGGAAGAAGUAUCUCGGUAUGUAAACUUCUAUCUGCAGGGAAGAUAGUGACGGUACCUGACGAAGAAGCCCCGGCUAACUACGUG